Molecule: long non-coding RNA, 875 nt
Filed under: Hordeum vulgare
Lineage: Eukaryota; Viridiplantae; Streptophyta; Magnoliopsida; Poales; Poaceae
Description: long non-coding RNA (HVUL_LNC002568)
Source: RNAcentral
CCGCGCUCUCGCUUCAGCGUCCCUGCCGCUUGUCGAGCGCGCCUCGCUCCGGCCGCAGCCCCCACACCGCUGUCGCCCCAAGCGUGCCGCUGUCAUGCUCAAGCCCCUCCAUGAGAGCCCGCAGAGUGUAGCCACUCCUCUAAUGUUAUCUGAAUUUGAAAAGUACAUUCUGUAUAUUAAAUUUGACAGUCUGAAAUUUGUGUGUUCGCAGGUGGUCCACAUCAGCUGGCCUCCUGCAUGCAUUGGAAGAGUAGCUACCAGCUGUUGUAGGAAUGGGAAAAAAUGGUAACUCACGCAUUUAAUUUCUAUAUCCUGAUGCAUCUUUGCUCUGAAAUGAUUGAAAGAAAAAACAGAUAAUUUAUGUUCCAACUAGAGCGGUUCAAGUUCUUGCAGGGUUUUAGAACAAGAUACACUUUACAUGGAUGAACCAAGCAGAUUUUGCCAAGUAUGCGUCACCUAUUAUUCAAUCCAAAGGGAACAAAAUAAAUUUUGGUAUUUUCUUCACUGAGUAUUUCUGUUGGAAAGAGAUGGCAUUGGCCAGUAUGAGGUGCUGUCAGUCCUGCACAUUACGGCGAUGAUGCCUUUGUCCCAAGAGAAUUCCUUGCUCCUCCCCAAUACGUGGGCUCAAGGGAUACCACACCAAAGUAUCUAAAGGUCCAUAUUUUCGACAUGUACUACUGACUAUUUCUCUGCUGCAGAAUCAUAAAGAAGUUCUCAGUUUCAGUUUUCUGAAUCUUUUUUAGAGAAACAAACGAUCUUCAGUAAAGGUAUUCCGCAAGGCAUCCGGGGUACUUGGAGUGUGCUAUGCAGCAUAUUCUUUCCUAUUUUUUAUUGGUUUUGCUAAUGCUCAGCUAGCUGAGACUCAACUAACGCUC